RNAcentral lists this ribosomal RNA (234 nucleotides) under uncultured bacterium. RNAcentral's name for it is "partial 16S ribosomal RNA". It matches the Rfam family "Bacterial small subunit ribosomal RNA", at positions 118 to 351 of the family's 1533-position model. The record is from RNAcentral.
UGAGCAAUCUGCCCUUCUCAUCGGAAUAAGCGUUGGAAACGACGUCUAAUGCCGAAUACGACCUCCUUUCGCAUGAUCGGAGGUGGAAAGCUCCGGCGGAGAAGGAUGAGCUCGCGGCCUAUCAGCUAGUUGGUGUGGGUAAUGGCCCACCAAGGCGACGACGGGUAGCCGGCCAGAGAGGGUGACCGGCCACACUGGGACUAAGACACGGCCCAGACCUCCUACGGGAGGNAG